GCCAGAAUGAGGUUUAGGGCUUCAACAUAUGAAUUACGGGGACGACACAAACAUUCAGUGUGUCGUACCACCCUAACUUCCAUCUCUACCAUAUUUAAAAAUCACUGUAUCAGUUAGCUUUUGCUGUGUAACAAACCACUCCAAAACUUAGUACCUUACAACAGCAAGCAUUUAACUAUCUCCUGAGUCUGCAAGUCUGCUGGGGGCUUGGUUCAUCCAGCAUGGCUUUUCUCACGUAUCCACAGGGUUAUGUGGCAGAUCAGCCCAGGCUUUUCUGACCUCGGUUUCUUUCACAGGUUUGGAGCCCCAGCUGGGAUGGACUGACUAACUCGGCUCUGCUUCACAGGCGCUUUUUGUAGGUAGGUGUAGCAGAUGCUGUUGGGGCCCCACCACAUCCGUUGGCACUCACCAUUCUGCUGAAGCCUUCUUGAUGCAUCUGCCUACAAAUGCAGUGGGCUGGAAGCACCCAGGAAUCAGUGUCCCCCAGGAGCAGCCCUCAACCAACUACAAAGGGUGAGACACCUCUGAAGUCCAGUCUCCAUCAUCUCCCAGAGGUUCCCAGUGGGACUGAGCUGCAGUUACCCACAGAGAUCGUCUGUGCACCGUCACCUCUGGUAUUGGCUUCUUUCCCUUCCAUGACUCACUUCUCCACUCACCUGCUUCUGGAGUGGAGUGAUGCUUCUGGGCAUCACCUCCCAAAUAAACCAUUUGCAUUUAAAUCUUUGUCUCAUAAGACAGUAAGGACUGUGUCUGAUUCGUUUCCAGAUGCUAGCACUUCAGUCCUGUUUGGUGAAGCAAGUUUAAGUUCCACCCUCUGAGGCUUCAACAAUAAGUCAAUUCCGUUCUUCUCAUGGUAGUUUUUUGUAUCAACCCAACUUUAACUCCAUUCCUUUCUGACUAACCUCCUACUCCCAAUCUUAUCUUCUCCAAAAGCUUCAUUUCCAAUUCUUUGAAAAUUCUCUCUCAUGACUUGGUUUUAGGUUUGCUCCCCAUCCUGGAUUCUAUAUUCACAUGACAUACUCAAAUGGUGGCAGUUCAAAUGUGAGCCCAGUAAUAAACUUAGUGCUUUCUCUGUGGCUGGGUGGUGUGGUAAUUGUUUCAGUCAGUGUCUUAAAUCCUUGGGGGUACCAGGUACAUGGCCAUGCUCUAUAUCUACAUGCUAAACCCUUGAGUCUUCCUAAAAUGCCUUGUGUAUACAUGCCCUUUGACGUCAAGAUGUAACAUUCAUUUAAUCAUUUGUUCAACAAACACUCACCAAGUCUACUAUGUGACAGCCUUUGGGUUAGGCUCUGGGCUUAUAAAGCUGAAAAAGACAAAUGCCUGCACUUGAAAAGUUCAGCAUAGUCUACUAAGAGACACAAUAGACACUCAAUACCUCUUUUUAGACUGAGAGAGACAGUGCAGUGUGAGCAGUGAGAUACGGCACACCGGUGGUCUCAUGGUGUGGUCCUCGGACCGGCAGCAUCAGCAUCAACUGAAGACUUGGGCAUGGGCAUUUUCAGGCCCCACGCAUUCGGGCUUACUGAACUGGAAACUCUGGCUGUGGGGCCAACAAUCUGUGUUGUAGCAGGCCCUCAGUGGUUCUGGUGCUCCCUAGAGUUUGAGAACCACUGUGACAGACAGAAGUAGAGACUUUUAUGGCAGAAGAGAGAAGGGUGUGGGUGUAUCUGAGUGUGUGUUUAUACGUGUGUGUGGAGAGUGGGGUGUCUAUACGGGGAGGAGUAAAGGAAGGCUUCCCAGGUUAGGUGAACCUGAGCGAAGUCUUGAAGGUGCAUUUUGGGGUAUUGACUGUUACUUGGC
Molecule: long non-coding RNA, 1800 nt
Filed under: Equus caballus (horse)
Lineage: Eukaryota; Metazoa; Chordata; Mammalia; Perissodactyla; Equidae
Description: lncRNA (ENSECAG00000046906.1)
Source: RNAcentral